Molecule: ribosomal RNA, 1383 nt
Filed under: human metagenome
Description: bacterial LSU rRNA
Rfam family: Bacterial large subunit ribosomal RNA
Source: RNAcentral
UAGACAGCUAGGAUGUUGGCUUGGAAGCAGCCAUUCAUUUAAAGAGUGCGUAACAGCUCACUAGUCGAGCGGUUCGGCAUGGAUAAUAAUCGGGCAUAAGCAUAUUACCGAAGCUAUGGCAACGAAAGUUGGGUAGGGGAGCAUUCUAUCGGCAUAGAAGCAUUACUGUGAGGUAAUGUGGAGCUUAUAGAAAAGAAAAUGUAGGCAUAAGUAACGAUAAAGCGGGCGAGAAACCCGCUCACCGAAAGACUAAGGUUUCCUCAGCCAUGCUAAUCAGCUGAGGGUUAGUCGGGGCCUAACGCGAACCCGAGAGGGGUAGUGGAUGGACAUAGGGUUAAUAUUCCCUAACUUGCUCACGAGGAAAGUGACGGUUCAAUGAGACUUAAGAAGACUGACGGAAUAGUUAAGACCUAGCCUACGGGCGAAGUUGAUUAAGAGCAGUUGGAUCCAAGAAAAGCGAGUGAAGCAACCCGUACCAUAAACCGACACAGGUAGUCGAGGAGAGAAUCCUAAGGUGCUCGAGUGAGUCGUGGCUAAGGAACUAGGCAAAAUAGUCUCGUAACUUCGGGAGAAGAGACGCCAACAGCGAUGUUGGCCGCAGUGAAGAGGCCCAGGCGACUGUUUAACAAAAACACAGGACUCUGCUAAAUCGAAAGAUGCUGUAUAGGGUCUGACACCUGCCCGGUGCUGGAAGGUUAAGGAAGGUGCUUAGCGUAAGCGAAGGCAUUGACUGAAGCCCCAGUAAACGGCGGCCGUAACUAUAACGGUCCUAAGGUAGCGAAAUUCCUUGUCGGGUAAGUUCCGACCUGCACGAAUGGUGUAACGAUCUGGGCACUGUCUCAGCCACGAGCUCGGUGAAAUUGUAGUAUCGGUGAAGAUGCCGAUUACCCGCAAUGGGACGAAAAGACCCUGUGAACCUUUACUAUAACUUCGUAUUGACUUUGAGUAAGUAAUGUGUAGGAUAGGUGGGAGACAUAGAAGCAGGCACGCUAGUGUUUGUGGAGUCGCUGUUGAAAUACCACCCUUUGCUUACUUAGAGCCUAACUUCUGGAUAGAAGGACAUUGCGUGGUGGGUAGUUUGACUGGGGUGGUCGCCUCCAAAAGAGUAACGGAGGCUUUCAAAGGUACCCUCAGCACGCUUGGUAACCGUGCGUAGAGUGUAAUGGCAAAAGGGUGCUUGACUGUGAGACCAACAAGUCGAUCAGGUGCGAAAGCAGGACAUAGUGAUCCGGUGGUUCCGAGUGGAAGGGCCAUCGCUCAUAGGAUAAAAGGUACUCCGGGGAUAACAGGCUAGUCUCCCCCAAGAGCUCACAUCGACGGGGAGGUUCGGCACCUCGAUGUCGGCUCGUCACAUCCUGGGGCUGGAGAAGGUCCCAAGGGUUG